AAGCACAAGGCGUAUAUUUCUUAAUAUAAAAAAAGUUACCACUCAAAAGUCUGUCCCAAAAACAAAGGAUCAAACACCAUCAAACAACAAGGAUGGUAGCAAAACAAAGCAUAGUUAACAAGACAACAACAAUAAAAACAAAGCCUCAAAACACCUCAAAGGUUACCAUAUAAGUUGUCAAGACACUCUGCUGGAUGAUCACACAAUUGGUUUAAAUUGAAACAAAAAUCUAUCCAGGUGCUUCAACCACCACCGAAACAAGAAUUUAACAUGAUCCAUAAAUAAUGCAACAUUUUUUCUCAUUCCUAGGUCAGAACACCAAAUUAUUGUGUGUCUUUCAAACACAUCAAGCCAUCUUUCAUAUAUAAAUUUUGACCUUUCCACCCUUACAAUUUUGCUAGAAUUUUAUUAAUAACUAGGUUCCAAAAAGCUAUCCUCUCCUGAUAUUUCCAUCCAUAUAUUCAAAUGUAGCUUGGCCACAUUUGCCCUUAAGCACUUGUUGCUUCGUCCAACCAAGUUUCAUUCACAUUGACUCCAACUAAAAAAACAUUUAUGGAAGAUCACUUUUAAAGCAUGUCAUCUCAAAAAAAGCUCUAAUAUUUGCCUAUGACUUCUCUUCCUUCAAACUCAUAUCAUCAACAUAUUGGGUAUGUAUUAAUUUGAACUCAUCAUUAUUUCCAACCUGAACUUUAUCAAUACAUGUCAUAAGUAGAAAAUUGAGACCUUCAACAAUAAGAAAAAAUAAAAAAGGUAAAAAGGAAUCACCUUACCCCAGCCCCCAACUCGUUUUAACAAAAAUUGUAAUAUUGAUUGUGUCAAAACACUCCAUAAUUCAUCAUCUCCCAAAUCUAUAUAUAUAUAUAGUUCUCAAAAAGGGUCUGUAAGACUCGACUCGUAAUCUCGUACGAGUUAUGGAAAAUUAAAAAUGAUAUUAAAAUUUCUAUAUGUGACACAUAAAUGACAAAUAUAUAUAUAUAUAUAUAUAUAUAUAUAUAUAUAUAUAUAUAUAUAUAUAUAACAAAAAAUCUCUAUAAUAGAUUUUUUGUAAAAGUAAGUUUGUAAGUAAGUAGGUAAGGUUCUAGUUCCUUCCCAAUUGGCUACUACAUUAAAUAAAAAAAAAACAUAAAACAUAUAUGAUAAUGUCUUCAAACAUCUAAAGCUCCAAUGUAAUCUUGUCAAUAAUCAAAAUCACCACCACCAUCGUCAUCAUCAUGGUCGCCAUAUCAUAUCAUCUUCACUAGCAUCAUGACCAUCAUUGUCAACAUCAUCAUCAAAUUCUACCCCGGACGAAACACAUUGAACAAGGAAACGGUUACAUGAAAAGGAAGUAAGUGAACGUCGUCGAUGAAAACAAAAAAGCAAGUGAUUUAUGAAAUACAAACUUGAGAGAACGUCGAUGGUGAAGUGUUCGCCGACUAUAGAGGUGAGAUUGGACAUCGUCGUUGAGAGAGAGUAGAUUUUCGUUUCUAAAUUGAGUGUGAGAGAAAGUAACCUUUCGUUUCUAGGGUUAUAAGAUUCUACGUUUUUUCUAUUCACAUUUUUUGUUUGAUUUGAAAUUUGGGACGUAUUUUGGACUUUUUAAAAGAAAAAAUUGCUUUUUUAAAAAAGUUCAUGGGCUCGAUAAAAUCGUCCUAGACUCACGAGUCUAUGUGAGUUGGUACGAGUCUACAUGCGUCUACCACAAAAGCGAUUCUAUGUGCGAGUCUACUUGUUUUUAUCAGAUAGACUCGUAAACUCGUAUAAACUCGCGAGUCUACUCGGAAGUUGACUACCAUGUUUAUAAGAACUCAUAAACACUAAAUAUACUCCAUGUUUUUUUUUACAAAACCCUAUAAUAACUAGUUAUAACUAUAAAUUUGUAAAAAGUAAAAAUAGUUUAACUUUCAUGUAUUGUUUACACAUCACAACCAAUCGUGCAGGUGAGUUUAGAAAACGUUUAUAAUAAAGUCAAUUGUUCCUGUCAUCUGACCAUCUUGUUGAAUUAAUUUUGUAAAAAAUAUUUAUCGACAAUGUAUAAGAAUGAAGUCUUUGUAAAAUGGUUUUUUUUAGAAUACCUUUGAAAAAUGGUGGGUAAUUUACCCACCAACCAAUGAAAAUGAGCAAUUUACGCACCAUAAAAUAUGUUACUUUUCCAUAAUCACCUCUACAAUUAAUUAUAUCAUAUUCAUAUGAAUUAAAUUAACGUUUUUCAAUUGUAAGUUAAAUAUGAAUAUUUUUGUAAAGAAAUUGUUAAUACAUUUUUUUUGUAAAGAAAUUGUCAAUACAUUUAAAAUUUUGUAAAAAGUAUCUUGUAAAGAGACAAAGAAAUAUGAAAGGAUGGUCUUACAAUUAUUGACCGAGGAAGUAGUCUUUCUCAACAUAAUUAACUGUCUAGCAAAGGAAAUCAAUUAGUGUAUAAAUUCACCAAAAAACCAUAUUACGAUAUUUAAGAAUUAGCUAAACAGCUAAUAAUCACUUGAGAACUACACCAUAAAAAAAUUACUUGAAACCAAAUUCACUAUAAUUUUAUAUUAUAUAUUCAAACUUUUUUUAAUCCAUCAACAUGUGUUGGGUCUAGUAGAAAUGUUUAUUUUUUACAAGACGUAGUAGAAAUGUUAUGCUGCCACAACAUUGCGAAUCAAAGUUCAAACUUAGGAUGGAAAAAUUGAAAUCUAUCCCCAAGAAGAUCGACACAACCAAAUUAUUACAAGAGCAUUAAUGUUAUAUAAUGCGACAUGCACUCCAACAAAAUUUGGCGAAGUAAGAAACCACUUACUAUAUACAUGGCUAAGGUGGUAAUAAAGAAAAUAGGUGAAGAAUAAAAAUGGUAUUCACUCAAAUACUAACCACUAAUUUACAUGCUUAGUCGUUUUUCGUCGGCACAUUUUUGCAGCACAAAGCAAUUUCCUUAUUACAAUAAGAAAUACACCACUCAACCUGAUCCACUAUAUGAGAAUAAGAAUAACACAUUUAAUAUUACAUUCGUACUAUAAACAACUCAUGUCUCUUAUUUAAGAACUGUCUAGUGUAGAAGUAAUUUAAUUGACAUAUGUACUACAUUAUGUCAACAUAAUGUCAUGCAAACCAUCAUAUUGUCAAUUCUUUAUCCA
This 3089-nucleotide long non-coding RNA is filed under the name Medicago truncatula (barrel medic). Its description in RNAcentral is "long non-coding RNA (MTRU_LNC005481)". The record is from RNAcentral. Lineage: Eukaryota; Viridiplantae; Streptophyta; Magnoliopsida; Fabales; Fabaceae.